AACGAACGUUGGCGGCGUGGAUUAGGCAUGCAAGUCGGGGGAAUCUCCCGCAAGGGAGGGAACCGGCGUAAGGGGCAGUAAUGCGUGGGUACCUACCCCGGGGUUCGGGAUAGCUGUCCGAGAGGGCAGGUAAUACCGGAUGACCUGGUGACAGCAAAGAUUUAUCGCCCUGGGAGGGGCCCACGUGAUAUUAGCUAGUUGGUGAGGUAACGGCUCACCAAGGCUUAGAUGUCUAGCGGGUGUGAGAGCACGACCCGCGCCACUGGCACUGAGACACUGGCCAGACACCUACGGGUGGCUGCAGUCGAGGAUCUUCGGCAAUGGGCGCAAGCCUGACCGAGCGACGCCGCGUGUGCGAUGAAGGCCUUCGGGUUGUAAAGCACUGUCGGGGGGGAGAAAAGGGUAAAACUUUGAUCUAUCCCCGGAGGAAGCACGGGCUAAGUUCGUGCCAGCCGCCGCAGUAACAC
RNAcentral lists this ribosomal RNA (467 nucleotides) under uncultured bacterium. RNAcentral's name for it is "bacterial SSU rRNA". It matches the Rfam family "Bacterial small subunit ribosomal RNA", at positions 28 to 526 of the family's 1533-position model. The record is from RNAcentral.